RNAcentral lists this ribosomal RNA (808 nucleotides) under uncultured bacterium. Its description in RNAcentral is "bacterial SSU rRNA". It matches the Rfam family "Bacterial small subunit ribosomal RNA", at positions 545 to 1352 of the family's 1533-position model. The record is from RNAcentral.
CCGGAUUUAUUGGGUUUAAAGGGUGCGUAGGCGGCCUUGUAAGUCAGCGGUGAAAUUUUGCAGCUUAACUGUAAAGGUGCCGUUGAUACUGUGAGGCUAGGAUUUGGUUGCUGUGGGUGGAAUGUGUGGUGUAGCGGUGAAAUGCUUAGAUAUCACACAGAAUAUCGAUUGCGAAGGCAGCUCACAAAGCCAAGAUUGACGCUGAGGCACGAAAGUGUGGGGAUCAAACAGGAUUAGAUACCCUGGUAGUCCACACUGUAAACGAUGAUAACUCGCUGCCGGCGAUACACAGUCGGUGGCCAAGCGAAAGCGAUAAGUUAUCCACCUGGGGAGUACGACCGCAAGGUUGAAACUCAAAGGAAUUGACGGGGGCCCGCACAAGCGGAGGAACAUGUGGUUUAAUUCGAUGAUACGCGAGGAACCUUACCCGGGCUCGAACGGUGCAUGAAUAUACAAGAGAUUGUAUAGUCCUUCGGGACAUGUAUCGAGGUGCUGCAUGGUUGUCGUCAGCUCGUGCCGUGAGGUGUCGGCUUAAGUGCCAUAACGAGCGCAACCCUUGUCAUUAGUUACCAUCAGGUCAAGCUGGGGACUCUAAUGAGACUGCCACCGUAAGGUGUGAGGAAGGGGGGGAUGACGUCAAAUCAGCACGGCCCUUAUGUCCGGGGCGACACACGUGUUACAAUGGGGGGGUACAGAGGGGCAGCCAUCCGGCGACGGAGCGCUAAUCUCAAAAACCCUUCUCAGUUCGGAUUGGGAGUCUGCAACUCGACUCCAUGGAAGUUGGGAUUCGCUAGUAAUCGCGCAUCAG